This 2647-nucleotide long non-coding RNA is filed under the name Rattus norvegicus (Norway rat). Its description in RNAcentral is "long non-coding RNA NONRATT004979". The record is from RNAcentral. Lineage: Eukaryota; Metazoa; Chordata; Mammalia; Rodentia; Muridae.
AUUUUCUUAGGGACUCCUGAGACAUGGUUCAUUUAUUUACUGGAUCAGUAAGGCACACAAGUAACAAUUACAAUUAACAUUUAUUUACAAAGUAAAGGGAAGACCUGUGUAACAUGAGAAUUUGGCACGGACAAAUGGAGAUCAUUUUGUAUCUGCUGUUGUGUCUGUCCAGGUUGCAGACGUGCACUAUUAAAGUCCCCAGUUAAUAGAGCACAACCCCCUCUCGGUCCUCUCCCAGGCGCCCCUUUCUAGAUGUGUUUAUCUUAAACUCGAUGGCUCAGGAAAAUUCCACUAAUUAGAGUUGUGUACAGUGUCCCAGGUUGUUGUCCAGAUAUCCAAGUUUGCUGAUUUUAGUUAAGCCUGGAUUAUCACUUUUCCUAAAUUAUUGUAAACAGAACAGCUUAGAGAAAGAUGUUCUCGGCCCUUAUAUUGUAUAGUAGUUUAUGAUCCCCUCUAAAUAUUGGUAUUUUUAUAUUCCAGAGAUAUACCCAAUAGAAAAAAUUUAAACCAGUAUCUAAUUUAAUAUCCAUAAGUAUUUUUCCUUAGCGUUUAGUCAUAUGCAGCGGGAUAUGUGGAUGUCACUUGUGCUUCACCAUACUCUACCACUAGGUGUCACUGUGACUCUGCAUCAUACUUACCUGGUUACAAAGAAUGGCUUCGUGGAGCUGCUGCCAGUGCAGCUGGCAGGCCCUUAGACUAGAGGUUCAGGAAGAAGGGAAUAAAAGCCUGGAGGGUCUUCAUGUAUCCAUGCCACCUGUAGCAAGACAGACUCUGAACACCACCUGUCCGGGAGGUUACAUUGAGCUCUCUUUCUCCCCAUUAGAACCGUUCCUCUUAGUUCCACUCAGCCUCCGACUUUUCUAACUCUAGAAGUAUCGUGGUUGGGUGGUUGAUUAAAGAUGGUUAUUUUUCUACUGCAGAAAUGCCUUGGACAAAACCAGUUGCUCACUGAAUCUUUGCCACACAAUGGAACAGGCUCCCCAGGUGGCAGGAUAUGCUGCCUCUGUGCCCAUCUUCUGUUGAGCCUCUGCACGCUCAGCAGCCCCACCCACCCUACCCGUCUGCCCUCAGGCUGCCCAGUUCUCAAGAAGGGGUCUGCUCCCGCCUUUACUCUGAGGGCCAUACUGCCCUGCCACGUGCUUGUUGAGAGGUGUGACUUCUCCUUUUCCUCUGGGAAUUCCAGACUGACCAUCUACCAUGACUAACAGUGAACAAAGGGCUUAGGGUAAGAGCUACCUACAAAGACGCGUCAUGGAAACCUUCACCAUGCAAUGCCUUGAACUCAGCUCUGGCUGCUCCCAAGAAAAGGCAGCUGGCUAGGGGCCUGGACACAAGCACACCGGGGCUGGUGGAGCCACUGUGCAGAGCUACUUGAACACUCACUGGGUCUUCAUCAACUCUUUUUGUAAUACAGACCACUCAAGGGCUGAAGUGUUGGUAACCUUCAUUUCGGUGUCUGAUGCCUCACAGCAGCUGAGCCACCCUGAGAUGCUUGUGGCCACAGGAUGGCCACAGUCAGAGCUUUGAAAGUCAGUACCAAAUGAACGUGUAAUUGGACACCAAAAAUCAAGUGUUACUCUCAUGUUUCUCACCCUAUCAUCUCAUUUUUUCCUGCUGACUGUGAUCCCUACACUAAGCUGACCAGUCAGGCUGCAGCUGGCUGCCCAAGAUGCCAGCCAGCACCAUCUCCUGGUUUCAGAUAGACCUACUCCGUGGAAAGGACAUGGCCUAGCUGCUUUGUUUCUGUAGCACUUGAUGGCUGGAGUUUUUCCUUUGCUAAUCACUAACCAGAAAAUCUGGCUAGGACUCAACACACUCCCUUCAAUCCCCAGGACCAGACAGAGAGUUAAUUCUGGAAAAUUCAGUACUUGAAUGUACCUGCCUUACUGUGUACCCAUUCACUGGGGGAGGGGGAGUUAGAGAUGUUGGCUCUAGAUAUCCACUUCAUUCAAGGUUAUUUUGGAAAUCCUGUAAGUUCUAUUUCCUGUCCUGGUUUGGUUUGCUUUGCCUUGCCUUUGUUUUGUUUUGUUCUUUGACAUUUGGCUGAUUUCCUGCUGAGUUGGGCCGGUUCCCUGUGGGGCCCAGGGCAGGUGCCCUUCUCAGGCAUGGCCUCCUUCCAUCUAGCACAGCAUCUGUCUCUCUGUCCUGUCUCCUCCAAACCCAAGAUGAUUUUAAUUAGUACAGACAUGUACAGUCGACAAUUACAGAGUGAUUUGUACUAAUAUGAUUUUGAUUAUUCCUCUUUGCUGUCCUUUCAAGACACUUGCUGGAAAAAGCUUUAAUGCACUUAGUUUUCCUUUAGGUUUUCUAUAACUCAGAUGUAAAGGACUCUCUCUGUACAGUAUAUUAUCCAAUGCAUGUUUGUUCUCUAUCCUGAUAUAUCGAACACCACACGGUCGUGAACUUGUGCAGUGGGGAUGCCCCACACCCAGCGGAGGCCUCCAGCCCCGUGUAUAAGGAAGACAUUUUCUCUACUGUACUUGCUUGAACAGUUUUAUUGUCUGUACAUGUGAGCUGUGUGAGAUAGAUGUGAAAAGUUCAAAUGAAUGCAUUUUCCUGCCCCAUGUAUACAGAGCGUCAUCUGUACAAUGAACUGUAUGUAUGAAAGCAAAUGUACGUAUUUAUAAAUGGUCAACACUUGGAGAAA